AGUGGGCGAUGGAUCAGCUGAAGACACCGGCAGUGGAUUGGUUUCUGCAAAUAUGAGUCGCUCCAUCCCCUUGAUCUUCUUGGUUGCCCUUUUUCGAACCUUUUCCAACUCUACACUGCUGUUUACUGGGUCAACAACUUCAUUGAUCUAUCCACUAUGACCCCAAGAUCUUGUUCCUGGUCAGUCACUGCCAGUUCAGACCACAUUAGUGUAUAUGAGAAAUUAAGGGGUUUUUUGCCUCAACAUGCCUCAACACUUUACACU
Rhineura floridana is the source of this 264-nucleotide long non-coding RNA. RefSeq lists it as uncharacterized. Lineage: Eukaryota; Metazoa; Chordata; Lepidosauria; Squamata; Rhineuridae. The record is from RefSeq and is a predicted model, not a curated record. The transcript is spliced from 3 exons.